This is a long non-coding RNA of Erinaceus europaeus (western European hedgehog), 528 nucleotides long. RefSeq lists it as uncharacterized. The transcript has 3 exons. Lineage: Eukaryota; Metazoa; Chordata; Mammalia; Eulipotyphla; Erinaceidae. The record is from RefSeq and is a predicted model, not a curated record.
ACUGGUACUAGAAUUGAAGAGAGAAUGACAAAGAUCAAAACAACUUGUACUUUUCCCAACCUAAUGAGACCUGAUUCAUUUUAUAGGAAGUUCUCCCUCUUCCAUUCAAACGUUGCAGCAGUGAAACGUCGCUGCCGUGAUCACUGCCGCAAAGCAGUUUGCUCCCGCAUGCUGCUUAGCCAAGGACUUGAAGCAACAGGGAAAACAGGUUUGACCUGGCAGCAUCAUUUUCCUCAUUUGACCCUGUGACUACGCCAUACUGCUUUGGGAUACGGGAUGGAGAGAAAUUGAGAAGAAAGGGGGAUAGAGAGGGACAGAAAGAAAGACACCUGUAACACUGCCUCUCUGCUCAUGAAGCUUCCCUAUUCCAGGCUGGGACUGGGAGCUUGAGCCCAAGUCCUUACACAUGGUAAUGUGUGUACUCAGCUGGGUAUGCCACCACACAGCCCCCAACUUUAAAUAUUUUCAAAGAAACUCAAUAAGAUUUUGGAUCACCUAAUGAAAAAAGGAAAAGUCUUCAAUUUUCAA